Carassius auratus (goldfish) is the source of this 810-nucleotide long non-coding RNA. RefSeq lists it as uncharacterized. The record is from RefSeq and is a predicted model, not a curated record. The transcript has 2 exons. NCBI's taxonomy places the organism in Eukaryota, Metazoa, Chordata, Actinopteri, Cypriniformes, Cyprinidae.
CUGAAAUCAAAAAUUGUUAGCUAACUCAACAACAAAUAUACAGCCACACAGGACUUGCUAAACUUCAAAGACCUAGACCCAAGGUUCCGAACUCAAUACAUCUCUGAAGAAGAGACCUAGACCUUAAAGGAAAUUCAACACCAGCAAAUCUGUAGCCCAACGGACUGCAGUGAUGGAAAAUGAUAACAUGGAUGUGGUGCUAAAGCCCAAAAGAAAAUUCUGGCCAGUUUCUACAAGGAAAUCACAUGCACAGCACCAAGAACUUCAUUGUCAUCCACAUCUUAUUUUAUGCCACAGUUUAGAGAAGCAGUGGCCACUGAACUCAAUGUUUACAUUUACAUGCCAUAUAUAGAUCAUGGAGAAAAUCCACUGAAAUGCUGUUAAGAUCCACAAAGUAAACUUCCCUAGGUAGCAUUGAAAUAUCUAGGCAUACAAGCAACGAGCUCUACAUCAGAGAGAGCUUUUUGCACUAGUGGUAAUGUUGUGUCGAAUCAACACUCUGAAACCAGACAAGGUGGAUAUGCUUGUCUUUUUGGCAAAGAACCUCUAAUGUGCUAAGUUUAAUUUAGAAAGAGGAUUUGGAAGUACCAGUUGGUCAUUAAAAAAAAAAAAAAAAAAAAACGUUUUGAGUUUGAGUGAACCAUAAUUUUAUAUACAGUUUCCAAAAGAAGUUUAUACAGAGUACGUUACAUCCUGCGUUAAUGUCCCUGUUUGUUUGGACAAAAUGUUUAAAAUGUCAUAUUUUUGUGAAAAUGUGUAUGUUUUUAUAAAAACAAAUUAUUUCAGCUAUAAUAAAAAAAAUGUUGUUAA